GGUCAGUUGGCCGAGUGGUUAAGGCGGUGGACUUGAAAUCCACUGGGUUCUCCCGCGCAGGUUCGAAUCCUGUACUGACCG
Molecule: transfer RNA, 81 nt
Filed under: Chlamydomonas reinhardtii
Lineage: Eukaryota; Viridiplantae; Chlorophyta; Chlorophyceae; Chlamydomonadales; Chlamydomonadaceae
Also listed under: 1 other name
Description: tRNA-Ser (TGA) (tRNA-Ser-TGA-1-1)
Rfam family: tRNA
About the family: Transfer RNA (tRNA) molecules are approximately 80 nucleotides in length. Their secondary structure includes four short double-helical elements and three loops (D, anti-codon, and T loops).
Source: Rfam by way of RNAcentral